RNAcentral lists this transfer RNA (63 nucleotides) under Scolytinae sp. BMNH 1039996. RNAcentral describes it as "tRNA-Ser". Lineage: Eukaryota; Metazoa; Arthropoda; Insecta; Coleoptera; Curculionidae. The record is from RNAcentral.
AACACAAUUAACCAAAUAAAGCUUCUAACUUCUAUUUUAAGCGGUAACUCCGUUUUUGUGUUU